Long non-coding RNA from Medicago truncatula (barrel medic), 288 nucleotides. RefSeq lists it as uncharacterized. The transcript is spliced from 2 exons. The record is from RefSeq and is a predicted model, not a curated record. NCBI's taxonomy places the organism in Eukaryota, Viridiplantae, Streptophyta, Magnoliopsida, Fabales, Fabaceae.
CCGUAUUUGAUUUUCGAUGCUUUUAACACCACUGCUUUUCAUUCUGUUAAGGCUGUGAUCCUUGGCCAGAAUUCUACUCCUGUAUAAAUGGCUCUGGUCAACAUUUUUCCGACCAACUUUGCAUUUGAAGUUCAAAUGACAAAUCAAACAUCAGAAGACACAUCUGCUAUGGUUGGAUACACAACUUUCAAAUACAUAUUUUCAGGAAACUUAAAGCUUAAUGCAUGGUAUAUUCAGAGAAGUGAGAAACUCUUGCUUGGUGGUUCAAUAGGAAAGAAGAAAAAAAAA